Long non-coding RNA from Gallus gallus (chicken), 3417 nucleotides. NCBI's taxonomy places the organism in Eukaryota, Metazoa, Chordata, Aves, Galliformes, Phasianidae. The record is from Ensembl.
CAGCUGACCACUUGGUGUAGACAACAGGAAGGGUUUCAAAGUAUAUUUGUUUUAAAGUUGAUGUUCACUGCUUUGGAAAAGCCAAAAUAUUAGCAGUUAAAUUUUAUCAAGAAAUGCUUCUAUCUCUCCUCUGAUUUUGUAGACCAUUGUACAUGGAACUUCCAUACUCAACCAUAGGUCAGCUAAAAACAGAAACUGAAACAUACAGCUGGACAAGAUGACAUAACUGAUUCAAAAACUACAAGAUAUGUAAGAAGUGACUCCUGCAUCAAAUCUAUAACAUCUCUGUGAGCUACAGCUUAUCCCUGAGAAAAACAACCACUAUUGAUUUGAAGAGAUCGGGUAAUUGAAGAGCUAUCAUAUUCCAAGUUUUUCCACUACAUGAAAGACCUGUCUCUACAGAUAUCUUCCUUAGGCAGAAGCAGUGCUUAUGUGACAGAUGUUCUGAACACAUCAUCAAAGAACAUGAAUGCACUUUCAAAUAAGAGCUUCCAUUGCAUGCUCAAGGAAAGAAAAAGAAAUAUAUAUAUAUAUAUAUAAUGUAUUUAUCUAAAUGAAUAAACAGCAAUAGCUGAUAAUUAUUUCAGAGGUGGAAAAGCACAUUGCAGCAGUUUAUCCACUGUAGGGUUUUGCAGGUUUCACUUGCUAAGUAUUCUGAGUGUCAUGUUAAGUAAAUGUGAGGGAAGCCACAGUGAGUCAGUCCACCACACAGGCACAAGCAGCUACCAACUACAGUCACUCACUGUUCUCCUCAAUGUUGUCCUCUCAGUGGGUUCCUAUGUGUAUCCCAGACCACAGCGCUGACAAUCUCACUGUGGCCAAAGCAGCUAAGAAGUCUGAGCAUUGGAAAUUAAGGGCCCAAGUAACACAGGCAGACAAAGUUUCUGUCCCAGCUGGCUGUGGCUCCUGGGGCUUCUCAUGGGGACUCUGAGCUGCUCUCUCCUGACACAAUAAGGGGACCCAGCCCUGGGUGCGGGCCCUGGCUUGGUCCACCAAGCCCAGCCACUGAGCAACACCCAGCCUUGCAGGCUGAUGACCUACUGGGGCUUCUCCUCCACACCAAGCCAGCAUUCAGUGUGCAGCCAGUGCAAACAUCCUCUUCAUCAGGAGUUCUCCUAAAAUUCCUCUUCCCUCCCACUUUCCUCAGGUGAGGAGUGGCUAAUAGACCCAGUGAGAUGGCAGCCACACUUUCAUUUGUUCCAUUUCUGCAGCACUGUCCAUUUACAAGUCCCUGUUGAACAGCUCCAGUGGCUGCUCCAGCCCUGAGGAAGGCAAUCUGAGAAACACUGAGGUCUUCUACGGGGUAAUUUCCCUAUUUGUCAAGCUCUCAUUACCUUCCUUCCAUAAAUCUUUCCAGUUUCCUUCCCACACAGAUGCGGCAAAUGCCUAAUGUAAGAUGUGGGGAGUGCUGCUCCCUGGUUCAGCCAUUAAUCCUCCAGGGAAGGAAAAACUUAUUGAAGUUUACUUCAUAUUCUUCCCCGUUACACUUGGAGAAAAGCAAAGAUUUGAUUACUAAAUAGAGCUCCACAGUCUACAGCCAUGUAAUUGCAUGUUAUGCCAGCAAAUUCUGUAACUAAACUCCUUCAUGUCUGCUCACAUGGCAGAAAAACCCUUAGCCAAGGAAUUAGUAUAGAAGAAGACAGAGAUCUGCUUUACCCUGACAUGUCCAGGUCUAAAUCACAACAUAGAGCUGUGAAGUCUUCAUUUAUACCAGGACUGAGAUGCUGUGGGAAAAUGGAGGAGCCGGAUCCGAAGACUGCAGGGAAGGCAGGAUUUGCCCACAGUGUUGUGAGCCAUAGCAGACAUUUGGGCUGAGCUUUAUUGCAGGGUUGAAGAUGUUGUGCUCCCUGCAUAAGCUCCUACAAGCUGCAGUGAAGGCACUGCAAUAUGCCUGUUCUUAUUAUUUCCUUUAUACUAUACAUCCCUUCCCAUUAGACACGAGAGGAUCCCAUUUUCAGUGUAGAAUGCAUGAGUGAGAACAAGGACAGAAAGAUAAGAGAACUGUGCAAAACCUCAUCCUUCUGUUUUUUUACUGCCCUUGUCAUCUAUCACAAGACUGACUGCUUCUCUUGUUUUUGUCUUUUUUUCUUUUUCCUCCAGCAUAUUUGUAAAUGUUAUUUACUUAUUGUCACUAACUCCUUUGGGCUGUCUACUUUAAUUUUUUAUCACAAAUUGUGACCGGCAGCAUUUUGUUGCUGCUACUUUCUUCAUUAAUUUGUAUCUUACUGUUUCAGCAACAAUAAACAGUCUUCAGCCCUGCCACAAUUUGUGUUCCAUUUUGGACUAAAAUCUCACAGGAAUAUUUACAGUACUCUGAUGCAAGCAGAGCUGAGAAGGACCUGUGGACUUUGUUUUAAUGGUCCUUUCUAAAUAGAGGAAAAAUUAUGACUGAAUAUCAUAUCAGCUCUUCCAUCUUUCUUUUACAUCACUGAGCAUCACCACCAACCAGAACAUUACUAAUUAUACUUGCCUUUUACUAGUAUUUAGAGUCUCCUAAAAAUAACAUUCUACCCUUAAAGCACUUCUGAGCCAAACUCUGAGUCUUGAGAUGCUCAGCAACCCUUUCUUGAGCCAAUUUUACAUACAGAACUUCUGCCAUCAAAAUUAUUAUUUUAGUCAUGCAAAUGGCCUUGACACGUUUCUCUAGAGUCAACAUGUCAGUGUUUUCUAUGCCAGUGAAUUUGCUAUUUUCUAUCAUCUGUGAAUACUGUAAUGGAAUUAGAGGCUUGAUUCUUUCCCUGUCUAUUUAAUACUCCAUUUUUGACAGUCAUCAUUCUAAAUUCUCUUAAUGUGGACCAUUACAAUAUCUCCAACCAGAAUGUAAACCUGAAUUUGAUUGCCUUUUUAUUAAAAAUUAUAGAAAUAAUCUUCUCUCUCCAUGCUUCAUUUUCUCCAUCUCACCAUAAUUAAAAUUUUAAAAACAAUUGUUUGUCCAAUCCUCAUGCAAUAAUGCUAAUAAAAGAAAUACAAAGUAUUUUUUUCCACAGCAAACACGUUCAUGUACGUAGAGUAGUUACUUAACUAUAUUAAGGGACAUUUAAUUAUGACUCUUACUAGGGAUGACGCAGAAGCAGUAUUCUAUGAAGGGAAGUUCUUCAGACACAUUUGGCUAGGGGGAACCCUGGAAGGCAUAUAAUAUUUCAGCACUUCUGAGUUUCCAUUCUUUUUCACUAGCAAGAAUUGAAACUACUGUCUCUACGGUACAAUACGUUACAUUAAAAUGUGAAACAGAUAUAACUGAGGGGAACAGGAGGAAGGAAGAAAGGCCAGAAACCUGUGAUAUUAACCAGGAUGAAUUAACUUGUUUUCAAAUGUGUUUAAUUCUUGUACAUUUAAGUUACUAUGUUUUAAAGCAUCUUCCAUAUUUGUAAAGUUAUUAGUUCGGGUGCAAGAGCUAAGAGACACAAAUAAGACUGA